Molecule: ribosomal RNA, 499 nt
Filed under: uncultured Glomeromycotina
Lineage: Eukaryota; Fungi; Glomeromycota
Description: partial small subunit ribosomal RNA
Rfam family: Eukaryotic small subunit ribosomal RNA
Source: RNAcentral
CCAAUAGCGUAUAUUAAAGUUGUUGCAGUUAAAAAGCUCGUAGUUGAAUUUCGGGAUUAGUAGGUUGGUCGUGCCUCUGGUAUGUACUCGCCUUACUGAUUCCUCCUUCUUGAAGAACUGUAAUGCCAUUAAUUUGGUGUUGCAGGGAAACAGGACUGUUACUUGGAAAAAAUUAGAGUGUUUAAAGCAGGCCAAUGCUUGAUUACAUUAGCUUGGAAUAAUGAAAUAGGACGUUGAUCCUAUUUUGUUGGUUUCUAGGAUUGACGUAAUGAUUAAUAGGGAUAGUUGGGGGCAUUAGUAUUCAAUUGUCAGAGGUGAAAUUCUUGGAUUUAUUGAAGACUAACUACUGCGAAAGCAUUUGCCAAGGAUGUUUUCAUUAAUCAAGAACGAAAGUUAGGGGAUCGAAGACGAUCAGAUACCGUCGUAGUCUUAACCAUAAACUAUGCCGACUAGGGAUCGGAUGAUGUUAAUUUUUUAAUGACUCAUUCGGCGCCUUACG